AGCUUAAUAAUUGACCAUGAAGGAAAGAUUAACUUGAACAAAAACGAAGCUUUACAGGAGGUCAUGGAUAUGGAGAGAGAUGAAGACGGCCAGUCAAGUGGUUUUACGUCGUCGUGGUCAACAUUUUCAGAUGAUGAACAAGACGAUGGUGAUGAUGGCUGCAUUCUAAAUAAGGACGAUGUUUC
Long non-coding RNA from Exaiptasia diaphana, 185 nucleotides. RefSeq lists it as uncharacterized. NCBI's taxonomy places the organism in Eukaryota, Metazoa, Cnidaria, Anthozoa, Actiniaria, Aiptasiidae. The transcript is spliced from 3 exons. The record is from RefSeq and is a predicted model, not a curated record.